This is a long non-coding RNA of Papaver somniferum (opium poppy), 1589 nucleotides long. RefSeq lists it as uncharacterized. Lineage: Eukaryota; Viridiplantae; Streptophyta; Magnoliopsida; Ranunculales; Papaveraceae. The transcript has 2 exons. The record is from RefSeq and is a predicted model, not a curated record.
UUCCAUCAUCUCCUAACUUUAAACGGAAAGAAAAAUAAAAUAAAAUGGGGGACAUCUUUCUCUGGAAAUCUUGGAUGAGGAAGCGUUGUAAAGAUUUAAGUGCAUGGAGUUGUUGACGAUGAUGUUGCUGCGAUUGUCUUAAUUUUCGAGAUGGUUAAAAUUGAAGAAAUAAAUCCUUGUUGGUCUGUUGGCUUUUGUUGGUAUCCUUGAGUAUCUUGUUAUAAUGGACCCAGUAAGCAUAUCACACUUUCAUUUAAGAUUUUAUAACUUUGAUGUAACUUGCGUAUCUCAUUCAUAUAGGUUAUGGGUUUACAAGGAUCUCAUCUCGAUCUCUUUGCAUAUUUUGUAUGUAUAUGAAUGUUUCAUUUUUCGGAGGUGUCAUUUCUACUUUAUGCCCUUGAAAUAUUCAUAUUAAAUUUGGAAUUCUAGGUUCUAUAUAAACAUCUUAUAAUGAGAAACUUAUAUGCACUUUGUGCACAUUAUACUUAUAUGGGAUUGUAGGUGAUCACUUUUACUGUUUGGUUUACUGAUGUGACUUGCUAUACUAACCGACUGUACUUGAGGUGAUAUGUUCCAGUAGAGAUUCUGCGUAUCAAUUAUGGAUUUUAGUUGUUCUCCGAGUGUUUUUCUUUAUUUGUAUGUCAUCAUAAUAUUCAUAAUACGUAUGCAUGGAUUCUCGGAAGCGAAAUGACUUUUGAUCUGUUUUUAUUAUGUACCCUUAGUAAGUUUACGGCCUCUGUUCAUUUCAUUGGGUUAACUUAGCUAAGUUUUAGCGAAUUCAUUUAGUUGGAAAUGAAGGAAAAUGUAACUAUGUUUUGAUUGAAAAAAAAUUGUUUCUAGCACGUAAGGGAGUCUAUGGUUGGUGCUAAAAUCACCGGUUCUACCGUAUUAGAUGUCUACUCGGUGAACUAUUAGAAGGGCUAAUAACAACGAAAGCUCGUUCGCUGUUUCAUUUGGUAUCACUUGUUAAGCCCUCUUAUAUAGACUAAUACUUCUCAUCUGUUUUGUUUGGUCCAAGUUGAGUACAGUGAUGUGCAUCAUUUCUUGUUGGUGUGUUUUAUUCCAAAACUACUUCUAUGGUGUUAUGGGUGAAGUUUAUAUGGUAAAGACCUGCAUAGCUUUAUGGGGUUUUGUCAGUAAAUAUAUCUUAACUGCCAAAGAAUAGGGCCGGUCUGUAUACAGUGAUGUAAUUAUGAGAAGUGAAGUCUUACUGUGGAUGGAUAUAUUAAGUAUUCGUACAGAUAAAUAGGAACUCUUGUUUUCAUUUGUAACAUCUUGUUGAACUAAGUUUGAUGAACCAAGGAAAUAACAACAUAAAUACCAGGAUAUCAUGACUAUUCUACAUUGAAUUAUUGAGGUACUGUGAGUGGACAAUUCUUUGACUAUUUGUGUGAAGUUGAGAAAGUCUUUCAUUUUUACACAUUGGAGGUACAGGGUGCAGUAUGUAUAUGGGAUGUUAGUUUGGAUUAAAUAUUAGGAGACUACCAAUACUAAUGGUUUUGUUUGUAUCUUAGUUUGCACAUCAAGGAUAAUGUUUAUUUAUGGUUGGUUCACGAUUUCAGUAUAAAAUUUAUUUUAGUUGUCGGAUA